RNAcentral lists this ribosomal RNA (609 nucleotides) under uncultured archaeon. Its description in RNAcentral is "bacterial SSU rRNA". It matches the Rfam family "Archaeal small subunit ribosomal RNA", at positions 61 to 669 of the family's 1478-position model. The record is from RNAcentral.
UAUGUUCUUCGUGAACAUGGCGUACUGCUCAGUAACACGUGGAUAACCUGCCCUUGGGACCGGGAUAACCCCGGGAAACUGGGGAUAAUACCGGAUAACGCAUAUCUGCUGGAAUGCUUUAUGCGUAAAAUGGAUUUGUCUGCCCAAGGAUGGGUCUGCGGCCUAUCAGGUAGUAGUGGGUGUAAUGUACCUACUAGCCUACGACGGGUACGGGUUGUGAGAGCAAGAGCCCGGAGAUGGAUUCUGAGACAUGAAUCCAGGCCCUACGGGGCGCAGCAGGCGCGAAAACUUUACAAUGCGGGAAACCGUGAUAAGGGGACACCGAGUGCCAGCAUCAUAUGUUGGCUGUUCAGAUGUGUAAAAUACAUCUGUUAGCAAGGGCCGGGCAAGACCGGUGCCAGCCGCCGCGGUAACACCGGCGGCCCGAGUGGUGAUCGUGAUUAUUGGGUCUAAAGGGUCCGUAGCCGGUUUGGUCAGUCCUCCGGGAAAUCUGACGGCUCAACCGUUAGGCUUUCGGUGGAUACUGCCAGACUUGGAACCGGGAGAGGUAAGAGGUACUACAGGGGUAGGAGUGAAAUCUUGUAAUCCCUGUGAGACCACCUGUGGCGA